Molecule: ribosomal RNA, 1098 nt
Filed under: Fructilactobacillus sanfranciscensis
Lineage: Bacteria; Bacillati; Bacillota; Bacilli; Lactobacillales; Lactobacillaceae
Description: bacterial SSU rRNA
Rfam family: Bacterial small subunit ribosomal RNA
Source: RNAcentral
UGCGAACGUUGGCGGCGUGCCUAAUACAUGCAAGUCGAACGAAGUCGCCCAUUUGAUUCUUGGUGCUUGCACCAAGAUGAUUUUGGAUCCGACUGAGUGGCGAACUGGUGAGUAACACGUGGGUAACCUGCCCAGAAGAAGGGGAUAACACCUGGAAACAGAUGCUAAUACCGUAUAACAACAAGAACCACAUGGUUCUUGUUUCAAAGCUGGCCUUUGUGCUAGUGCUUCUGGAUGGACCCGCGGCGUAUUAGCUAGUUGGUGAGAUAAUAGCUCACCAAGGCGAUGAUACGUAGCAGACCUGAGAGGGUAAUCUGCCACAAUGGGACUGAGACACGGCCCAUACUCCUACGGGAGGCAGCAGUAGGGAAUCUUCCACAAUGGACGAAAGUCUGAUGGAGCAACGCCGCGUGAGUGAAGAAGGGUUUCGGCUCGUAAAACUCUGUUGUUAGAGAAGAACAGCUGUGAGAGUAACUGCUCACGGUAUGACGGUAUCUAACCAGAAAGUCACGGCUAACUACGUGCCAGCAGCCGCGGUAAUACGUAGGUGGCAAACGUUGUCCGGAUUUAUUGGGCGUAAAGGGAGCGCAGGCGGUUUAUUAAGUCUGAUGUGAAAGCCUUCGGCUUAACCGGAGAAGUGCAUCGGAAACUGAUAAACUUGAGUGCAGAAAAGGAUAGUGGAACUUCAUGUGUAGCGGUGAAAUGCGUAGAUAUAUGAAGGAACACCAGUGGCGAAGGCGGCUAUCUGGUCUGUAACUGACGCUGAGGCUCGAAAGCAUGGGUAGCAAACAGGAUUAGAUACCCUGGUAGUCCAUGCCGUAAACGAUGAAUGCUAGGUGUUGGAAGGUUUCCGCCUUUCAGUGCCGCAGCUAACGCAUUAAGCAUUCCGCCUGGGGAGUACGACCGCAAGGUUGAAACUCAAAGGAAUUGACGGGGACCCGCACAAGCGGUGGAGCAUGUGGUUUAAUUCGAUGCUACGCGAAGAACCUUACCAGGACUUGACAUCUUCUGCCAAUCUAAGAGAUUAGACGUUCCCUUCGGGGACAGAAUGACAGGUGGUGCAUGGUUGUCGUCAGCUCGUGUCGUGAGAUGUGGUUG